Molecule: ribosomal RNA, 510 nt
Filed under: uncultured bacterium
Lineage: Bacteria
Description: partial 16S ribosomal RNA
Rfam family: Bacterial small subunit ribosomal RNA
Source: RNAcentral
GACGAACGCUGGCGGCGUGCCUAAUACAUGCAAGUCGAGCGAAUGACGAGAAGCUUGCUUCUCUGAUUUAGCGGCGGACGGGUGAGUAACACGUGGGCAACCUGCCCUACAGAUCGGGAUAACUCAGGGAAACCUGGGCUAAUACCGGAUAAUCCUUCGAAUCACAUGUUUUGAAGUUGAAAGGCGCUUCGGCGUCACUGUAGGAUGGGCCCGCGGUGCAUUAGCUAGUUGGUGGGGUAACGGCCUACCAAGGCAACGAUGCAUAGCCGACCUGAGAGGGUGAUCGGCAACAUUGGGACUGAGACACGGCCCAAACUACGAAGGGAGGCAGCAGUAGGGAAUCUUCCGAAAUGGGCGAAAGUCGGAUGGAGCAACGCCGCGGGAGUGAUGAAGGUGUUCGGGUCGUAAAACUCUGUUGUAAGGGAAGAACAAGGACGUUAGGAAAUGAACGUACCUUGACGGUACCUUAUGAGAAAGCCACGGCUAACUACGUGCCAGCCGCCGCCGUAA